Xyrichtys novacula (pearly razorfish) is the source of this 6554-nucleotide non-coding RNA. Lineage: Eukaryota; Metazoa; Chordata; Actinopteri; Labriformes; Labridae. The record is from the annotation of a GenBank genome assembly.
GAGGAGGUAGAUGGCGUCCAUUCUACAUGGACAUGGUGUAUGGGUCUAAAGAAAAGUUUUGAAAAAAGUUGAUUAAAAGUUUGUUGAUGGUUUGCAAGUCGAUUGUAUCCUGUUUUGUUUGGGUCUCUUUUUUAGUGGUCACGGUCAAACAUUGAGCAGAAGAGGAGUUGGGGUAUAGUCAAAUCACUGAGAAGUUUUGCAAUGCUGAAAAUAUUCACCUAGAUGAAGAUCAUCUAACUAAAGAAGUCAGUUUGCAAAAGGAUAGUAACAGGACUGGGAACUGCCAAGUGUCCACUUUCAACCCUUUUUCCACACACACUUGGGGCCCUGGUAAUUAUAAAACAGGUUGCUAACAACUGAUUUAUUUCACAUAUAUGUACUCGAUAUCUUAAUAGGUCUGCUGGGGGUUACACAUAGUAGUCCAAAGAAAUGUGAUGUGAGCACAGAUUUCUCAGGGGAAGCCUGCAAGCAUAAAGGGGAAACAACAGCUGUAACACACAAGCUUGAAAAGCCCAAUAUUUACCCUUAAAGAACAAGUUUGUCUGUAAGUUUAAAUACAAAGCUCAUCCAUGAUGAAAUUAAACCAUAUUUAUCUUCCCAUCUAAGGGAAUUACUAACUAGAAAAGCACUCGGAGAGCGCAGACUUCCGCCAAGUGACUCAUGUCUCACCUUGAACAAGAAUGAACUGACUGGGAUUUGAACCCACAACCUUCUGGUUGUGAGGCAACAGUGCUAAACACUACACCACUGUGUCACAUAUCUACCCUACUGUGCCGCCCAUUACUUAUCCUUCAGCAUUGAAAAUUCCAACAACACCCUUAUUUUUGUGUGUUCUGGAUCACAGUAUUCAGAAUUUUGUCCGGAUCACCACCAAAUCAGAGAUGCACCUCUGGUGAACAUUUCAGGUCAAUCCGUCUGUUACUUUUUCCGUAAAGUUGCUAACAGACAAACAAAAAACCCAACGCUACCGAAAACACUAGAAAAGCACUCGGAGAGCGCAGACCUCCGCCAAGCGGCUCAUGUCCCCCCUUGAACAAGAAAUGCCCUGACUGGGAUUCAAACCCAGGACCUUCUGGUUGUGAGGCAACAGUGCUAACCACUACACCACUGUGCCACCUAUCUACCCCACUGUGCCGCCCAUUACUUAUCUUUCAGCACUGAAAAUUCCAACAACACCCUUAUUUUUGUGUGUUCUGGAUCACAGUAUCCAGAAUUGACAUAUGACUGUGGUCAUAUGAGGAUCUGAUAAAGCCUGUGGUAUACACUUGCAAAGGACUAGUAAUACUGAAUAAUACAGUAUGCAGGUUUUACAGCAAUAUACUGUAUGUUGCCAUCCAGACAAUGACUUUUUCAGGGAAGCAUUUGCACAUAUCAGCACAAAGAAUCAAAACUGUAUUCUAAAAAUUUUUAAUAUAGCAUGCUCCCUUAGUAGAAGCAUAGAGGUACGAAACUGGCCUGCCUACAGUCCUGACUUGUCAUACAUGGAAAACCUUUGGGGCAAUCAUGAUAUGAAAAUGACAACAAAGGAGACUCCAAAUUAUAGGGUGACUGAGAUUCAUUACCAGGCAAAAGUGGGACGCUAGUUCGCCUUUAGAAACAGGUCCCAUCAGCCCUGAAACACUCAGAGAUUGUAAUUGACAAAAGUACUAAAAGAAAGUAAUAAAAUGCCCCUCAAAUGACUGUUUAAAACAUUUUUUUUUUCAGAUGUUGCACUUGCUUUGUUGUCUUAGCACUAUUUUCAAUUUAAUAGGUUACACAGUGUGUAAUGAUUACACAGUGUCCCAACAUUUUUGGGAGUGGGGUUUGUAUUUAAUCUAUCUCAUAUCUUGAUGUUUCUCCCAGUCAAAAGAAAGCAUUUUGCUGUGUUUUUUAGGACCUGGUAUUAUCUCGGGUCACCAUGUGUUGAGAUGUGUAAUGAGUUACAUGCUCCUGAAAUCAUAAACCGGAUAUGUGCAGCCUGAAACCCACAAACCCUCCCUGAUGCUCAGAGCUACACUUUAAAGCUUCAGCAGACUCAAGAUAAAAUUCCACUCCCCUCCUGUGAGUGAUGUCUCCUGUAAAACUGUUGUUUUCUUAGUUUUUAAUGCUUGUCAUUUUGAUUUGAACCACUAUUAGUUUCAGUUACUGAUGGGAUUGGAAAUAUCUGGUGCUUCAAAUACAUAGAUUACAAAUAACAGUGAUCUUAACAUGUGAUCAGUUGUCUUUAGUGAUACUGUACACACAGACAAACAUUUCCAUCCCAUUUUUUUAGCAUUUCUACUUACCCAGUAAACCCUGCUGCUUUUCCACCCCUCUCCUCUGGUGUAUGGCAUAACCAAGGGUGCACACUUGGAGCUCUAUAUUUUAACUUGAACAUACAUUCACACAGACAUUCAUCCUUAUACCUACCUGCUAUGUUGGUCAUGCCUGCUCAUGUUUCCAAAUGAGGAAACAGAAUGCAUGAUUUCCCUGCAGUAAAUAGGUGAGUAUGACGACCAAAGUAGUCACAUGAUGCAGGAAAAGUUACUCUGUAGUUGUUUGCUAUAGAUCCCUAAAAGUCCAUGCACCACCGAUCGCUCUGACAUUCUGGUUAAAAUGGUAAAAAAAAUUACAGUCAAAGGUCUGAAGGUUUAAAAGAGUUAAAAUGGUUUAAAUAAAAAAGAGUUUAUCUCUAAAAUUAUGUAAUUAAUAACACUCACUGGAAGGGGCAAUGGGGGUUUAAAAGAAGGCUGCCUGGGCCUUUCAGUCAGUCCAGAUUUUGUUGCAUUGAAGGUCACAAGCUCAUUGUUGUAUUGCUGCUGUGUUUCUUUUUAUGAGUGUGAAUUCAUGAGUAAAAGCAGAACUCUUGCCUUGUUGGCUUUUUUGUGUUGUACAUUUUUGGUUAAUAGUUUUUUUGAUCAUGUUUCAUCUUUAAACCUCCACACCAGUGUCAUGCAUCUGAAACACAGUACAUUUGACAACUCCAUCAACUCCAGAUGCUACACUUCUGCUGAGCUGCCACAUCCUCCUCUUCCCCCAAAGCAGCUGGGGUAAACACAGCCAGACCAGAGCAAGUCAUGUUAGUUAAAAAUCAUAAUUACAUGUUGAAAUCAGCAGGAUAAAAGCUAGUUAAUCAAGGUAACAGAUGAUGACGUUGUGAGAUGUUCAGGGUUGGGUCACUAAAACGAGAAUUGGGUGAGUAAACUUGUUACCAUGAUGUUUUCAAAAGUCAUGUCCAGAAAAAAUAAAAAAUAGUUUUUGGGCAAAAUCUGUAUAAAAACAAAAGGAGAAAAAAAAGAUACAAAGGAUUGAACAACCAUAUCAGUAAGGAUGUGGAUCCUUAAGGAGUCAAGUAUCAAUAUCAAUUACUGAUCCAAAUCCCUAAUCCUGUGUGACACCAACAUCCAGAAAGCUGCGAUUAAUGAAGAUCUGUGUGUACAGACCCUUCUGGAUGUUGACCUUGGCUUCCUGGGACCAUAAGGAAUUUAAAGGAAAGACUUGGUUCUCACCAUUUUGACAACCUUGGACAGUAUAGCCUGGAGAUUACAGAGCUGGAGUGGUUUGUAAACCCCUGAAACCAACAGUUUAAGGAUUUUAUUUGGGCAUGUUGAGGCACAAAUAAUAAGGGUGAAGGGGUGAAGUCCUGCUGCUGAAAAUAUUGAGCAUCUGGCACUUAAUUCCGGCAUUCAGGUGAUAUGUAUGUGAAAUUUAGUGGGGAAAAAAAACAUUCAAAGGGUUAAUUUUACAUUUCAUACACUGAAAGGGCAUCAGUGGGGCCAAGGAGCAAUCUACUAUAAGCAAUCAAUCUCAAACACAAGGAUAUAAAUGACAGUCUGGGUUCUGUAUAAACUUUAGUGCACAUCACCAGGUAUGUAACCAGAAGAUCAAUCAUUUCUUCACUGUGACAAAGGAUAAAAUGGAUUAGUCAUGUCUAACACAUCAGCAAAGAUCUGAUUUGCUCUGUAAAGGAGGUUAAUAAAGGCACUUUGUGGGUGACUGAUUGACUCUUGAAGGCGUGGCUUAUCACACGUUGGUUCUUAACCUAAUAGGAGAUAUGAAAACUCCUGCUGAGAGUUACCUUUUUCUCUGACAGGCGUGACCCAGUAAUGCUAAAUCUCAUUUUUACAUGAAUAUUUAUGUCAGCAUUGCAUGACAAUUUAUUUCAUAUAUUCCAAAACACAUGCACGUCUGAGCAGGCAGCUCUGGCUUGCCGAGCGCCCGUCACUGCUGAGUUGGAUUCAAUAGUGACAGGUAUCUGACACAAAACAUUACUGCAGGAGGAGGGUAGAAAUCACAGAAGUGACAUUCUCACAGUUUUGGUGACACCGCGACAUGUUUAUUUAUCCUUCAGUCUGAUUUUUAGAUGCACCUGCUCUCCUCACUCUGUUUUCCCCUCCUUUUCUAGGCGGUAAAUCUCUGCAGCCUGACUUCCAGACUGGAGUGUUGACAGAGAAGCUCAGCAUGUAGCAAGCAGCCUCUGGCAAUAUAUAAAAACUACUUUUCAUCAGAAAUGUCUUUCCUUUACCGUUUUGUUGCUUACGAGGUUGUACAUCCAGUGACAUAGCUAAGAUCCUUUUUGUGUUUCAGCAACACAUUCUCUGUGUUUGAACCGUUAUUUGUUGAGCUGUUAGAACGUGGGAAAAGAAGUCUUUGAAUGCAAACAUGGAAAUGUGGCUGCAGGAGAAAGAGGUGUUCAGGAGGGAGCACCAUAUUCAUCUCUGUUGAGUCUUUUGUAAAUAGAGAAGGAACUUUAUUAAACCCCGAAGGGAAAUUCAAUUGUCUGUAGUCUCAGUGUCAUGUCUCAAGUCAUCUACUAUUUACAGAAGAAUCAUAAAGUCUGGUGGCUGUGGGUACAAAAGAUCUUCUGAAUCUUUCUGUCCUGCAGCGAAGAGAGAGGAGCCGUCCACCACCAUUGGCCCUUUGGUCCAUUAAGGUGAUAUAAAGUGGGUGAUCUAUGGUCUUUGCUGCUGUUAACACCAAAAUGUCCCUGACCCUGGGAUGAAUAAAGGGUGAUCUUAUCCCUUAUCUUAUACAAAACUAGCCAACAAUGAAGUAGCGAUAAGGUAAACAAUAAAUGAUGCAAGCCUGUUACUGAACAUGUUGAGCCAAUUACAAACAAGAAGUCACACUGGGGCCGACGCGGAUAUAGAACGCGAAAUUACUAAAUAUUCAGAGGCGAAUUUUGAAGCGCCUGACGAUACACAUCAAGCCCAAUGCAAUUUUGCAACUUUCCGGGGGUAAAAAGACGCGUCCCGGGUGGAAGCAGGAAGACUGACACAACAUCAUACUGACUGUUUUCAGUUCUGAUGAGACACUAGUGUUGAGAUGGCUGCCUGUCAUGAUAGCAUUUACUAAGUUGGGGCCAGUACCAGACAAGCACAUGAAACUAUAAUCCAUAAACGUAAGGUAACAACCGAGACCUAAUGGUGCUGUGACAACAACACAAUUGAGUUUGAGACAGUAAAAAUCCUUAUGGUAUGUUGUAUCUGAACAGGUUAGCUUACGAGUUAAAGUUACUUAGCACAAAUGAAAGUUAAAACAAAGACGUUUAGCAAACUGUUAAAGCACACAAACCAUCGUCAUAUGAGAAAUCCGACGCUAUGACUCUCCACAAGUUGUCCUUCAGAUCAUUAUCUUUGUAAUGUUUGUGUCUUUUAUCGAAAAGCACUCUGUUCUCCGACACGUAAACAAUCAGCCGGUCGGCCAUGUGAAUUAUAUGUCGCAACAACACCUUAAGUGUUACCCUUUCAGGUUUCUGAAAUGUCAGCAGGAAAAAAAUAUGCAGCACAUGGGGAGUUGACAGUCAGCAUAGCAGCAUCAGAAAGCCACAGUCCACGCCUUACUACUGUGUUUGCUAGGCUGAGCUGAAAUAAACUCAACAGUCAUCACUGUGUCAGUGUGCAGUUUCGCAUUAGGUGUUUACCAUAAUGCAAAACUGCACACUUGUAUUUGGAUGAUUGAAUUUGUGUUGGAGACUUGAACCCGUCUGCUGUGUACAGUUAGCCAUUCCAGCCUGCUGCUAUCCCAGCAGUUUCCAAUUGAUGGGUCAAAACUGACCUGCAUUAAUUGUAAUCCACCAUGAAACUAAUACGGCCUCACUUCAAAAAUACUGAAAUAUCCCUCUAAUCAUAAGACUCUCAGAUUCAAAGAUCAUCAAAUGGUAUUUUGUCAUGGAUCAUGAAAAUAACAGGGUCUGCUUUUUAACCAUCAUAUACAAUAAAUUACCAAUAAUAGGUGUCUACUUGAAAAGCAUUAAGCACAGUAGAUAGAUACACAAGAUACGUGUUAUAGUAAGAAUCCCAAUAACAAGAAAGGACAGGCACCAGAGGGUCCUCCAGAAAACCUCGUCUUAGGUCUAUUUCAACAUGUAGUCUAGGCCUUUGAAAGAUGUGACCAUAGGGCUCUGGAGUGUAGAGGCGAGUCUGCUGAUGUUCGGGUGUUGGUUGUUGUGUUCCUUUUUCCAUCUGCCGUAGACUUCCAAGUGGAACCUCAAGACCAUUUUUGCCUAACACCACCUGACAAGUCAUUUGACAUCUGAGAGAGUUCAAUAUAUUCCUAAACCUUUAGGAAUCUUUUUUUCCUGGCCCCAAAUGUCA